RNAcentral lists this ribosomal RNA (345 nucleotides) under uncultured eukaryote. RNAcentral describes it as "partial 18S ribosomal RNA". It matches the Rfam family "Eukaryotic small subunit ribosomal RNA", at positions 592 to 976 of the family's 1831-position model. The record is from RNAcentral.
CAAUAGCGUAUAUUAAAGUUGUUGCAGUUAAAACGCUCGUAGUCGAAGUGGUGAUAUUUUUUAGAUGGCGACGAGAGUCUGUUGUUUAAAACGUGUCAUUUUCCUUGUGUAUUUUAUGCAGGGACUAUUACUUUGAGGAAAUCAUAGUGCUCAAAGCAGGCUAUGCUAUGUAUGUCACAGCAUGGUAUAAUAUUAUAAGACUAAAGUGUUUGCGGAUCGCGAAUACUAUAGUAAUGAUUAAUAGGAACAGUUGGGGGCAUUCGAACUCAUUAGUCAGAGGUGAUAUUCUUAGAUUUAAUGAAGACGAACUAAGGCGAAAGCAUUUGUCAAAGAUGUUUCCAUUGA